RNAcentral lists this ribosomal RNA (253 nucleotides) under uncultured bacterium. RNAcentral describes it as "partial 16S ribosomal RNA". It matches the Rfam family "Bacterial small subunit ribosomal RNA", at positions 524 to 776 of the family's 1533-position model. The record is from RNAcentral.
UACGUAGGGUGCAAGCGUUAAUCGGAAUUACUGGGCGUAAAGGGCUCGUAGGCGGUUUGUCGCGUCGGGAGUGAAAACACCGGGCUUAACUCGGUGCUUGCUUCCGAUACGGGCAGACUAGAGGUAUUCAGGGGAGAACGGAAUUCCUGGUGUAGCGGUGAAAUGCGCAGAUAUCAGGAGGAACACCGGUGGCGAAGGCGGUUCUCUGGGAAUUACCUGACGCUGAGGAGCGAAAGUGUGGGGAGCGAACAGG